AGAUACAGCUCAAUGGGUAGAAUGCUUGUCUGACAUGCAGGAGGCCCUGGGUUUGAUUCCCAGUACCU
Molecule: transfer RNA, 68 nt
Filed under: Mesocricetus auratus (golden hamster)
Lineage: Eukaryota; Metazoa; Chordata; Mammalia; Rodentia; Cricetidae
Rfam family: tRNA
About the family: Transfer RNA (tRNA) molecules are approximately 80 nucleotides in length. Their secondary structure includes four short double-helical elements and three loops (D, anti-codon, and T loops). Further hydrogen bonds mediate the characteristic L-shaped molecular structure. tRNAs have two regions of fundamental functional importance: the anti-codon, which is responsible for specific mRNA codon recognition, and the 3' end, to which the tRNAs corresponding amino acid is attached (by aminoacyl-tRNA synthetases). tRNAs cope with the degeneracy of the genetic code in two manners: having more than one tRNA (with a specific anti-codon) for a particular amino acid; and 'wobble' base-pairing, i.e. permitting non-standard base-pairing at the 3rd anti-codon position.
Source: Rfam by way of RNAcentral